RNAcentral lists this ribosomal RNA (300 nucleotides) under uncultured Desulfurococcus sp. RNAcentral's name for it is "bacterial SSU rRNA". It matches the Rfam family "Bacterial small subunit ribosomal RNA", at positions 496 to 795 of the family's 1533-position model. Lineage: Archaea; Thermoproteati; Thermoproteota; Thermoprotei; Desulfurococcales; Desulfurococcaceae. The record is from RNAcentral.
UCUAACGCCGUGACGGCAGCGGCGGUAAUACGGGGGGUGCAGGCGUUGUGCGGAAUGAGUGCGCGGCAAGGGCGCGUAGGUGGCCCGUUAAGUGGCGGGUGAAACCCCGCGGUUCAACGGCGGGGCUGCCGGUCAUACGGGCGAGCUAGAGCACGGUAGGGGCAGAUGGAAUUCCCGGUGUAGCGGUGGAAUGCGUAGAGAUCGGGAAGAAUACCAGUGGCGAAGGCGUUCUGCUGGGCCGUUGCUGACACUGAGGCGCGACAGCGUGGGGAGCAAACAGGAUUAGAUACCCUGGUAGUC